UACGGGGGGAGCAAGCGUUGUUCGGAUUUACUGGGCGUAAAGGGUUCGUAGGUGGCUCGCUAAGUCAGACGUGAAAUCCCUCAGCUUAACUGGGGAACUGCGUCUGAGACUGGCGAGCUCGAGUGCAGGAGAGGAACGCGGAAUUCCAGGUGUAGCGGUGAAAUGCGUAGAUAUCUGGAGGAACACCGGUGGCGAAGGCGGCGUUCUGGACUGCAACUGACACUGAUGAACGAAAGCCAGGGGAGCAAACGGG
This 253-nucleotide ribosomal RNA is filed under the name uncultured bacterium. RNAcentral's name for it is "partial 16S ribosomal RNA". It matches the Rfam family "Bacterial small subunit ribosomal RNA", at positions 524 to 776 of the family's 1533-position model. The record is from RNAcentral.